AGGUGGGCACUCCACAGACUACAGAGCAGAAGAGACCACCAACACUGCCCAACCCUGCCCACAUCCCUGGCCCAAGAGGAAACUGUAUACGGCCUCUGAGUUCCUUUGGAUAAAGGCACAGGAGCAGGAAAUCCGCUACUUCUGAGACACUGCCCGAACCUGAAGUGACUGACCAGAUAAACAGUUCUCUGCACCCAAAUCCCGUGGGAGGGAGAGGUAAACCUUCAGAGAGGCAGACAUGCCUGGGAAACCAGAAGAGUCUACACUCAGCCCGCAUCUCUGACUCCAGAGGAAAACACCAAACGCCAUCUGGAACCCUGGUGCAGGGAAGCUCCCACAAAGGGCGGUGCAGAUCUUCCUGGUUGCUGCCCCCAUGGGGAGCUCAUAAUCAACACCCCAGGAGCAAACUUGAGCCUUGGGACCACAGGUAAGACAAACCUUCCAGCUCCUAGCGACCUGCCUGGUGAACUCAAGACACAGGCCCACAGGAACAGCUGAAGACCUGUAGAGAGAAAAAACUUCACGCCCCAAAGCAGAACACUCUGUCCCCAUAACUGGCUGAAAGAAAACAGGAAAA
RNAcentral lists this long non-coding RNA (577 nucleotides) under Rattus norvegicus (Norway rat). RNAcentral's name for it is "long non-coding RNA NONRATT009381". The record is from RNAcentral. Lineage: Eukaryota; Metazoa; Chordata; Mammalia; Rodentia; Muridae.